Molecule: non-coding RNA, 1705 nt
Organism: Podarcis lilfordi (Lilford's wall lizard)
Lineage: Eukaryota; Metazoa; Chordata; Lepidosauria; Squamata; Lacertidae
Source: the annotation of a GenBank genome assembly
UUGUUUAGUCGUUUAGUGGUGUCCGCCUCUUCGUGGCCCCCUGGACCAGAGCACGCCAGGCACUCCUGUCUUCCACUGCCUCCCGCAGUUUGGUCAGACUCAUGCUGGUAGCUUCGAGAACACUGUCCCACCAUCUCGUCCUCCGUCGUCCCCUUCUCCUUGCGCCCUCCAUCUUUCCCAACAUCAGGGUCUUUUCCAGGGAGUCUUCUCUUCUCAUGAGGUGGCCAAAGUCUUGGAGCCUCAGCUUCAGGAUCUGUCCUUCCAGUGAGCACUCAGGGCUGAUUUCCUUCAGGAUGGAGAGGUUUGAUCUUCUUGCAGUCCAUGGGACUCUCAAGAGUCUCCUCCAGCACCAGAAUUCAAAAGCAUCCAUUCUUCGUCGAUCAGCCUUCUUUAUGGUCCAGCUCUCACUUCCAUCCAUCACUCCUGGGAAAACCAUGGUUUAACUAUACGGACCUUUGUUGCCAAGGUGGCCGAUAGUCAGGUGCAAAAGGCACCUGGAGCGUGGCUGAUUUUGAACGCUGCUCAGAAGAGCGCCAUCUAGCAUCCUGUUCUCACCCAGAUGCCCAUGGUGGGAAACUCGCAAUCAGGAUUCGAACACAAGACCCGCUCUCCCCUCCUGCGGUUUCCAGGAGGGAAUUCAGAGGCAUCGCUGCCUCCAACCGUGGAGGCAGGACAGAGCCAUUGUGGCUAGGAGGAGUAAUAAUAAUAAUAAUAAUAAUAAUUUAUUAUUUCUACCCUGUCCAUCUGGCUGGGUUUCCCCAGCAACUCUGGGCAGCUUUCAACAGAACAUUAAAAGCACAUCAAACAUUAAAAACUUCCCUGAACAGGCCUGCCUUCAGAUGUCUUCUAAAAGUCUGGUGGUUGUUUAUUUCCUUGGCAUCUGAAGGGAAGGCGUUCCACAGGGCGGGCGCCACCACCGAGAAGGCCCUCUGCCUGGUUCCCUGUAACUUGGCUUCUCACAGAGAGGGAACCGCCAGAAGGCCCUCGGAGCUGGACCUCAGCGUCUGGGCUGAAUGAUGGGGGUGGAGCCAUCAAUAGCCCUCUCCCCCUCCAUGAAUUUGUCCUGCCCUCUUUUAAAGCCAUCCAGGUUCAUGGCCAUCACUGACUCCAGUGGCAGGGAGUUCCACAGUUCGAAGUCUUGCCAUGGACUGCCUGGAUGCCGUUGAAUGGUAGGAGGCACCAGCCAGGGAACCCCCAAGGGAGGGAGCCCAGGGGGAGACAGACCCUCAAAGUAUCCCAAUUUUCCAGGGACAGUCCCGGAUUGACAGAAACCGUCCCAGUUUCUGAACUGAUCCCGGAACCUCCCACUUUUCCUUGUUGUUGUUGUUGCUGUGUCGUUUAGUCAUGUCCGCCUCUUCGUGACCCCCUGGACCAGAGCACACCAGGCACUCCUGUCUUCCACUGCCUCCCGCACUUUGGUCAAACUCAUGCUAGUAGCUUCGAGAACACUGUCCCACCAUCUCGUCCUCUGUCGUCCCCUUCUCCUUGCGCCCUCCAUCUUUCCCAACAUCAGUGUCUUUUCCAGGGAGUCUUCUCUUCUCAUGAGGAGGCCAAAGUCUUGGAGCCUCAGCUUCAGGAUCUGUCCUUCCAGUGAGCACUCAGGGCUGAUUUCCUUCAGAAUGGAGAGGUUUGAUCUUCUUGCAGUCCAUGGGACUCUCAAGAGUCUCCUCCAGCACCAGAAUUCAAAAGCAUCCAUUCUUCGGCG